RNAcentral lists this ribosomal RNA (509 nucleotides) under uncultured bacterium. Its description in RNAcentral is "bacterial SSU rRNA". It matches the Rfam family "Bacterial small subunit ribosomal RNA", at positions 501 to 1009 of the family's 1533-position model. The record is from RNAcentral.
CUACGUGCCAGCAGCCGCGGUAAUACGUAGGUCCCGAGCGUUGUCCGGAUUUAUUGGGCGUAAAGCGAGCGCAGGCGGUUAGAUAAGUCUGAAGUUAAAGGCUGUGGCUUAACCAUAGUACGCUUUGGAAACUGUUUAACUUGAGUGCAGAAGGGGAGAGUGGAAUUCCAUGUGUAGCGGUGAAAUGCGUAGAUAUAUGGAGGAACACCAGUGGCGAAGGCGACUCUCUGGUCUGUAACUGACGCUGAGGCUCGAAAGCGUGGGUAGCAAACAGGAUUAGAUACCCUGGUAGUCCACGCCGUAAACGAUGAGUGCUAAGUGUUGGAGGGUUUCCGCCCUUCUGUGCCGGAGUUAACGCAAUAAGUACCCCGCCUGGGGAGUACGACCGCAAGGUUGAAACUCAAAGGAAUUGACGGGGGCCCGCACAAGCGGUGGAGUAUGUGGUUUAAUUCGACGCAACGCGAAGAACCUUACCAGGUCUUGACAUUGAUGGACAGAACUAGAGAUAG